ACUUCCGUCCAGCCACAGAAUCACGCAAUGGGGGCGGCCCGGCGAGAACCGCGGGGGGUUAAGAUUACCAUGA
RNAcentral lists this non-coding RNA (73 nucleotides) under uncultured Acutalibacter sp. RNAcentral's name for it is "pemK RNA". It matches the Rfam family "pemK RNA", at positions 9 to 61 of the family's 61-position model. The record is from RNAcentral. Lineage: Bacteria; Bacillati; Bacillota; Clostridia; Eubacteriales; Acutalibacteraceae.